AGGGAGCUCCCGAUCAUGAUCCAACAGUCCGAGCUUGAUCUGGGUUUUGUUUGAGCCUGUUUAGGAUAUCUAAACCUAAUCUAAUUGGGUUUAAGGUCUUUAAAAGGGCCCUGAUCAAGUGAAACCUGUGUGUGGCUUUUUUGUUCAUGAACAGAGACCCAUGGUGGCUUGGUUUUUCUCACGGAAACCCGUGAGGCCUGUGGACGUUCGAACCC
Molecule: long non-coding RNA, 215 nt
Filed under: Elaeis guineensis (African oil palm)
Lineage: Eukaryota; Viridiplantae; Streptophyta; Magnoliopsida; Arecales; Arecaceae
Description: long non-coding RNA (EGUI_LNC029256)
Source: RNAcentral